This 1028-nucleotide long non-coding RNA is filed under the name Prunus persica (peach). RNAcentral's name for it is "long non-coding RNA (PPER_LNC002614)". The record is from RNAcentral. Lineage: Eukaryota; Viridiplantae; Streptophyta; Magnoliopsida; Rosales; Rosaceae.
UUUGAAGCCUCAAGCCCCUCUCCUGCUUCAAACCACCAUCUCUCCUCUGUUCUCUCCCUUCUUCCCUCUCUAUGCAUCUUUCUUCUUUGCAAGCAAACGCAUAGCUCUCAUUCUCUCAUUCUCUUACUCUCUCACUCUCUCUUAUUUUCAAUUUUAUCUGAGAACGCUGAAACAAUGGUGAGAGAAAUAUCUCUGAGCUAUACAUUUCUACUUGAUGAUCUUCGUCAAUAUGCUUCUACCGACUAUUACAAUCACUCUUAAUCUCAUUGCAACAUCUUCGUUUUCCUCAGGUUGUCGCACAAAAAGUGAAGGAAGCGAAGAUUACCGAGCAGGACUCGCUUCUUCUGGUAACCUUCGAUCACUCAUCAAUUAGGAAAUAGAUCGCAAGUGAUAGAAAUCUGAAUUGUUUGAAAUUCUUCUGAAGUUUCAAGCUGAUACUAUUUCAUUUAUGUAAAUCUGAUAUGUUUUUGUUCAAUUUUCGUUUACCUUCGUUUAAAUCUCUCUCUCUCUCUCUCUCUCUCUCUCUCUCUCUCUCUCUCUCUCUCUCUCUCUCUCUCUCUCUCUCCUGUUGAAGUUUGAUAUGAAUUUUUGCUAAAUUUUGAAAAAUUUCAGUUCGAAUAGUUCAAAUAUAAAUCGUAUCUGAAACAGACUGUGAUGAUAUAAGCUUUGACGAAUACUUGAUGAUUCGUAAAUAGAUCUAAAGCUAACUGUUAUUGUUCUAGAAAUUUUAAGCACAUCUCGUAGCAUAAGCGUAUUUAAUUUUGGAAAGCGUAUUUAAGAUGGUUUUAUGACAUAGUAUUAAUAGUGUACUUCUAUGAUGUAUUAUUAAUAGUGUUUUUUUUUUCUUUUUGUAGAAGUAUCUUCUUAUUACUAGUAUACUUCACUGCUGGGGCUGGCAGGACAAUGCUGAUCAGCGAUGCUGGGAAAGUUUAUGCCUUUGGAAAGAACUCAAGAUGGUUCUAUGACAUAGUAAUAACAAGAUAGUUCUAUGACAUAGUAUAAACAAUGUACUUCUAUGAAAUGAUAUU